UGCUUAUCAUUAGUUAUUUUCAAUCAAGCUGUCUCCUUUCGAGACACCACAAUCCCUUUACCUAUGUCAUUAUGGUCACAGUGUUGAACCAAACGUAACUACAGGUACAGCCCCGCUGUGUUCCGUCCUGAAGACGUUCACGUGGCGGAAGGUUUCCCCAAACCAGCCUCGGACCCAACCAGAACCGCCCUCGCCUUCUUCAUCUCCUACUCCGACACGGGAGACUUCAGGCCGGUACCUUUGGACACCGUAGAGACAGUUUUCCAACUGUCCCAGCCGCAGCUUGAAGCAGCCCUGGGCGGCAGGUCGUUCAGCUUCCUGGGCUCGCUUAGUGAGUACCAGAACGGCGACCAGGCCGAUCCAGACGACACGGUUAUCUACGUCAUCGUCGGCGUGUCGGUCUCCCUUGGCGUCGGUGUUAUCAUCGCCGUCACAGGGUAUCUGUGGGCCAGGAGGAAGAAACGCAAGGUCGAUGCUAACCAACAUCAUGCAGAGCCAUUGGCCGUUACCAUGGAAACGACUUCCAAGGACGUGUCAGGCGCUGACAACCCUGUCAUGGACACCAAGUUUUGAGCAUUCUUGCUUAAGCGUUGACGCCUUAUUAGGUGCUGGAAAUCAAAAUUGUCUUCUGAGAGUUCAAUACAUAAUUGCCAUUUUCCUGAGUGCUGAAAUGCUACAGACGGAAACUGUGAUUCUGCAUGUAUACAGUAGAUGCCAUUAAAAAGCUAUAUGCACAAUU
Molecule: long non-coding RNA, 739 nt
Organism: Branchiostoma floridae (Florida lancelet)
Lineage: Eukaryota; Metazoa; Chordata; Leptocardii; Amphioxiformes; Branchiostomatidae
Exons: 2
Source: RefSeq, a predicted model, not a curated record